UUACAGAGUUGCAAAACUCCCUAAACCAUUGUGAACGUUACCUAUACCGUUGCUUCGGCGGGCGGCCCAGGGGUUUACCCCCCGGGCGCCCCUGGGCCCCACCGCGGGCGCCCGCCGGAGGUCACCAAACUCUUGAUCAUUUAUGGCCUCUCUGAGUCUUCUGUACUGAAUAAGUCAAAACUUUCAACAACGGAUCUCUUGGUUCUCGCAUCGAUGAAGAACGCAGCGAAAUGCGAUAAGUAAUGUGAAUUGCAGAAUUCAGUGAAUCAUCGAAUGUUUGAACGCACAUUGCGCCCGCCAGCAUUCUGGCGGGCAUGCCUGUUCGAGCGUCAUUUCAACCAUCAGGCCCCCGGGCUUGUGUUGGGGACCUGCGGCUGCCGCAGGCCCUGAAAAGCAGUGGCGGGCUCGCUGUCACACCGAGCGUAGUAGCAUACAUCUCGCUCUGGUCGCGCCGCGGGUUCCGGCCGUUAAACCACCUUUUAA
Molecule: small RNA, 483 nt
Filed under: Chaetomium globosum
Lineage: Eukaryota; Fungi; Ascomycota; Sordariomycetes; Sordariales; Chaetomiaceae
Description: eukaryotic LSU rRNA
Rfam family: 5.8S ribosomal RNA (bases 179-332)
Source: RNAcentral